This is a long non-coding RNA of Apis mellifera (honey bee), 4285 nucleotides long. RefSeq lists it as uncharacterized. NCBI's taxonomy places the organism in Eukaryota, Metazoa, Arthropoda, Insecta, Hymenoptera, Apidae. The record is from RefSeq and is a predicted model, not a curated record. The transcript has 5 exons.
UAUUUGGAAAGGGAAUAGAAAAUUUGGAAAGAAUUUCUCGUUUGAAUGAUAAGUAUUAAUUAUUAUAUUGGUAUAUGGAGAAGAAUAUACUUGGAAUAGAACAAUUAUUAUUUAUCUGAAUUGAAGAUCUUUUCAUAAAUCUACGUAAAACCUUCCAAAAGUUAAUCUAAAAAACAAAUUGAUACAAGAAUCAGCAAUACGUAAAUUCUUAGCGAAGAAAUUAAUUCAUCUCUAUCUAUUCCAUUCGAUUCCAAAUCUCUCCUCGAAUGCAUAGUUCGAAGUUCGAUAAUUCGAGUCACGAACUUCUGAACCGCCUCGACUCCACCAUCUCUAAAAAUCCCUUCUCCGCCCAGGAACCGCAAUUUCUCAAUCCCGAUUGUCCAAAAAUCCCCGCUUGAAAGUGGCUACAAAUUUUCAUCGUGUACAGAAAAAUUCCCCCCCUCCCCAUUCACCGUACAUUUCCCCCUCCAAUAUGCUUGGAGGCAACAUUUAUCACCGGAUAGUAGAGCGCACAUUAAAGCUCGAAAAUUUUCCAAAAACCCACUCACCGAAAUGAUCCAUGAAUCCGCAUUUAUUUUCGUGGGCGGAACGACUGUAUAAAAAUAUCCACCUUCGCUUCCGGUAUCGCGGCCGUAAGAAGAAGCCCGACAAGUUGUCAUGAAUUGCAGGCAAUUUCGUUUCCAUCCACCCCCCUCCAGAAGGAAGAAAACUUGGAAAGGAGAAGGAGAAGGGAAACAAUCGUGAGAGAGAUGAAUGUAUAUAUGUAUGUAUGUGAAUGAGAAUGGUGGAGAGAUGCACGAUAGGGCGAGGGAUAAAAUUGUUUGUAAGUUACGACAGGUUUCAGGAUAGGGUGGCACGCCUACGAAUUAGGGGACUGGUGGCCCUACGUGCUUUGAAAUGAGUUGGAGGAAAUGUGGAUGCGAUGAACUGGGAAAUGAAAAUUAGAAGAAUAAGAGAGGAGAGGAUAGAAGAUUGAGUGAAACGUAAAAUGAAGAAAUUGAUAUAAAAUAAGAGAUAAAAUCAGCAUAAAGAACGGGAAACGGUUAAUGCGUGCAGCUACUUUGGACAUUAAUUUCAUAUUAUCGCUCGCCGGAGAAUAUUUGUCUCGACACGCCUUAUAUUUUUCGCCAUCUCGAACAGGUAUGCAGUGAAAAUUCUCGAAAUGAAAGGAACAAGAUCGACUGGUAACAUCCAAACCCAAAUGGCGACAGACGUCAAAUGCAUGCAGCCAUAGAAAUGAGAGUGCCGCGUUCAAAUCGAGGUUUAUUGAUGAUCCACGUAAUGUGGAAACGAGGAGGCACAUACCAAUCCUGGCCAAUUAAAAACGACACGUUGAUCGAUUUGCGCGAAUAUUUGCGCAUCGUUUUCCAUCGAGCUUAGUUGUGCAACCACCGCUUUCAUCACUACCUCGAAUUCCACACGAUUUUAACGCUGUUUUUCAUGACGAGUGAUUUUCCAAUCGAUGGACGAGCAUAUUUAAAAUUGUAAUUUUAGUUCUUUUUAGCGAUGUCUCGUCGUGUUUCAUCGCGAUUUCAUUCGAUUUGACGUGUGAUGCGAUUGAAAUGCAUAAUUACGAAUCAUAUAUCACUUGUCAAUUAAUCAAUCAAUUUUCACAUCGAUCUUAUAAUGGAAGUUAUAAAAUUUACAAAUGAUGAUUUUUUCCAAAUUUUCGCCCCGUGUAUUAUCAAGUUUAUAGAAAAUUGAGAUAAAAUGACUUCGAUUUUUCACGUGAAAAUUUGAAUACACUGUAUUGGAAUAUCGUUGAUCCAUCAGCCUCGAGAAUCAUCAUAAUCGUUGAAACGAAGCUCGAAUUCGAAUGUACUCGAACAGGGAGAGGGCGACACAUUCGCCAUUUUCGAUUUUGGAAAAUCCGUUCGGUCACCGGUAGUCGUGACCCGCGAAACUCUUCGACAACUAUUUGGAACGAAUUCCGAAACUGUCCGAUUAACCGGAAGGACGUGCCGGAAGUACAUUUCUAGGGAACUGAUGCAGUGAUCGUAACCGUGUCGGUAUUCGUUGUGCGGUUUCGCGCGGAGAACUAUUCAGAACUGGCGGCCACCGUGGCCGAAACUGUCAAUUUCCUUGAGACGGUCACUCUACCGUCAAAAAUACAUCCAACCUCUUCUUUCUUUGUUCCGUCUUCAAGUUUCCAAGUAAUGGGGAUCGGGAAAAGGAGAAACUAUUUUCACUUCGGUUGGUAUGGAAUAAUGCAACGAUAAUAAUUGAAGCUGAUCGAUAAGAUCGUUGGUAUAAUUGAAUUCUGAGAAUUGAAAUUACGUUUGAUAAAUACAAAUAGGAUUGAUUAUUAUUUCGAUGAAUUAUGCUGUAGAGAAAAAUUGUUUUCCAUCAUUGACGAAUUAAAAUGAUGAAUAUGGACAUUUUGUCAUGAUUCUACAGCAAGAAUAAAUUUUUAUUUCAUAAUUUUAAAUAGAAGGAUUUGUUAAUUCUUAGCUCUUUUGUUUUCAGAAUAAAAAAUUGUUUCCUCCCCAUGGAUAAAGAGCAAUCCGAUUAUGAAAAGCUGUAAACGAACUUUCCAGUGGAUCAAUUAAUUUUAAACAAUUUUUGAGUGAAAGAAUAAAAUAUCUAAAUAAAAUAAGAAAUAACAAAGAAAACGAUCAUGAAAUUAUGGAAAUUACAAAUUGGAACAAACCAAAGGAAUUAAAUUUAAUUAAAUAUUCACGAAAAUAGAAGGAACAAGAAGGAAACACAAGAAGAAAAUGAAAACAAGAAAGGAGAAGAACAGAGAUAAACAUAAAGAAUGGCAAAGAUCUGUCUGUGAAAAUUUCUGAUAAUCUUUUAAAAUCAUUCUUCAAGUUUUAUUCUCAUAAUAAUCUUCCCGGAUAAAAAUUUAUUCGAUGAUCCCUCUCUCACAAUAGGUGGGUGGUUCACUUAGUGCGUGAGACGUGAAAAAUUCGAAUUUAUCCAGGGUGAUUCUGUUCGCGCCAAUGCAUCAUCAAUCACUGCUCGAUUCCGGCUUCUGUCUUCGAUUGGACGCCAUUUGUGUAUCCAGUGAAUCGGUUUUUGCGACCCGGAAAUCAAUAACACCCGCGAACAAUACUUCAGAACGCUUACGGUUUUGCGAAUCAUGCUGAAAUAUCAUUCUGAUGAAUUUCACGAUUCUUUUCCUUCGUCAGCGACGUGUAUUUGUAUUUUGUUGCCGAGUAAGUUUUUUCUUCAAAAUUUCUUUCGCAUCGUAUCUAUUUGCAAUCUCUAGAUUUUUUAGAAAGAAAAUUUGGAACAAGAGAAGAUCAAAUUAUUCGAUCUUAUUCACCAUUAAUGUAUAUUAAAUUAAUUCCCCUCUCGAAACUUUGAUGAUAACAAGGAUGAGAAAAAGAGGUAAUUAAAAAUUUUAUUUUCAAAUUCUUUCGUACGAAUUCAUACAGCAAUAAUUGAUCAUUCAUAUUAAACAGUCUCGUGAAGAUUAAAAAUUCUUUUGUCGUCGAUCAAAUUUUAAAACUUGUCACGAUAUCAUUAUAUAUUUAUACAUUUUUCUAUUCAAGAAUAAUAAAAUAAAAACCAACUUGAUCAGUUGUUGAGAACUUUUCUGACGAAAAAUUAAGCAAGUAACCUACUCAUUUUUCCAAGCUUCAUUUCCAACAAGAAGCGACCAAGAGAUAGAGAUAACGUUAACGAUGAGAAAUGAAAUCGGUCGAAGGUGAAGAAUCUGUACCCGUGGCGGAUUUUUCAUGGCGCCAUCGGAUCGGACGGAGAAGGGGCAAGAAAGCCUCUUCCGGCUCGUGUGAAUCAAGCCUCUGUCUGACUGCUCGAAUAGAACAAACAAGAUGGAAUUUAGAUACCAGUCGAAGGAACUGGGACUCGUUGAGAGAUAUGCAAUACAGUGUCAUCUGGCGAAAUAUGUGGAUUAUUAAAACAUGGAUAUAUUACAAAAAUUCAUCAUUGCUUUUCGAUUAUGGAAUAUAUAUAUAAUCUUUUAUCGAUCGAAAGAAUAAACUGUUUGAACAUUUGGACAAAAGGUUGCUUGUUAAUUAGUGCAUACACGAUAACAAUGACCUGUUAUGCUAUGCAAAAAAGGAAGGAAGGAGAGUUUGCACGAAAGAGAAGUAUAAAUUGGAUUCAGCGAUGCACAAUGUAAUUCGUUAUUUUUCGUAUCGUGUUUGGCUUUCCGCAAACAUGACGGAUAUCGUUUCGUUCCGUGUUAAUUAUUCCAUCCUUACAUCCACGCCCGUCUCUAAUUAACGAAAUUAUCGUUAAUCAGGAGAAUGAAUUGAUAAUUGGCUCGAUCACCGUUUUUUCAAAAAAGGUUUUAAUCAAUUUUGUCGACAGA